UAAGCACUCUUUUACUGUGAAACUGCGAAUGGCUCAUUAAAUCAGUUAUCGUUUAUUUGAUAGUACCCUACUACAUGGAUACCUGUGGUAAUUCUAGAGCUAAUACAUGCGCAAAACCCCGACUUCGGAAGGGGUGUAUUUAUUAGAUAAAAAACCAAUGCCCUUCGGGGCUCCUUGGUGAUUCAUAAUAACUUCACGAAUCGCAUGGCCUUGCGCCGGCGAUGGUUCAUUCAAAUUUCUGCCCUAUCAACUUUCGAUGGUAGGAUAGUGGCCUACCAUGGUGGCAACGGGUAACGGGGAAUUAGGGUUCGAUUCCGGAGAGGGAGCCUGAGAAACGGCUACCACAUCCAAGGAAGGCAGCAGGCGCGCAAAUUACCCAAUCCCGAUACGGGGAGGUAGUGACAAUAAAUACUGAUACAGGGCUCUUUUGGGUCUUGUAAUUGGAAUGAGAACAAUCUAAAUCCCUUAACGAGGAACAAUUGGAGGGCAAGUCUGGUGCCAGCAGCCGCGGUAAUUCCAGCUCCAAUAGCGUAUAUUAAAGUUGUUGCAGUUAAAAAGCUCGUAGUUGAACCUUGGGCCCGUCCUGCCGGUCCGCCUCACCGCGAGUACUGGUCCGGAUGGGCCUUUCUUUCUGGGGAAUCCCAUGGCCUUCACUGGCUGUGGCGGGGAACCAGGACUUUUACUGUGAAAAAAUUAGAGUGUUCAAAGCAGGCCUUUGCUCGGAUACAUUAGCAUGGAAUAAUAGAAUAGGACGUGCGGUUCUAUUUUGUUGGUUUCUAGGACCGCCGUAAUGAUUAAUAGGGAUAGUCGGGGGCGUCAGUAUUCAGCUGUCAGAGGUGAAAUUCUU
Molecule: ribosomal RNA, 847 nt
Filed under: Penicillium expansum
Lineage: Eukaryota; Fungi; Ascomycota; Eurotiomycetes; Eurotiales; Aspergillaceae
Description: SSU rRNA
Rfam family: Eukaryotic small subunit ribosomal RNA
Source: RNAcentral